AGUGAACGCUGGCGGCAGGCCUAAUACAUGCAAGUCGAACGACCGCACAGUAAGCGUUCGCUUUUACGGGUGGCGAGUGGCGGACGGGUGAGGCAUACAUCGGAUUCUUCUUUUUCGUGGGGGACAACGUAGGGCAACUUCCGCUACUACCGAAUAUGUUGUACGGCUGGAAUCAAGGGAUCUUCGGACCUUUCGUGUCUCAAUGAGCCGAUGCCGGAUUAGCUAGUUGGCGGGGUAAAGGCCCACCAAGGCGACGAUGCGUAGCUGAUCUGAGAGGAUGAUCGGCCACACUGGAACUGAGACACGGUCCAGACUCCUACGGGAGGCAGCAGUAGGGAAUAUUGGGCAAUGGGCGCAAGCCUGAUGGAGCCAUGCCGCGUGAGUGAUGAAGGCCUUCGGAUCGUAAAGCUCUGUUAUUAGGGAAGAAAAGCAGCGUAAUAAAAUCCGGCUGUUCUGACGGUACCCAAACAGAAAGCACCGGCUAACUACGUG
This 492-nucleotide ribosomal RNA is filed under the name uncultured bacterium. RNAcentral describes it as "partial 16S ribosomal RNA". It matches the Rfam family "Bacterial small subunit ribosomal RNA", at positions 29 to 507 of the family's 1533-position model. The record is from RNAcentral.